RNAcentral lists this transfer RNA (73 nucleotides) under Methyloprofundus sp. Its description in RNAcentral is "tRNA-Ala". It matches the Rfam family "tRNA". Rfam says of the family: Transfer RNA (tRNA) molecules are approximately 80 nucleotides in length. Their secondary structure includes four short double-helical elements and three loops (D, anti-codon, and T loops). The record is from RNAcentral. Lineage: Bacteria; Pseudomonadati; Pseudomonadota; Gammaproteobacteria; Methylococcales; Methylococcaceae.
GGGGAAUUAGCUCAGAUGGUAGAGCAACGGCUUUGCAAGCCGAAGGUCGAGAGUUCAAAUCUCUCAUUCUCCA